This 253-nucleotide ribosomal RNA is filed under the name uncultured bacterium. RNAcentral describes it as "partial 16S ribosomal RNA". It matches the Rfam family "Bacterial small subunit ribosomal RNA", at positions 524 to 776 of the family's 1533-position model. The record is from RNAcentral.
CACGUAGGGCGCAAGCGUUGUCCGGAAUUAUUGGGCGUAAAGAGCUCGUAGGCGGUCUGUCGCGUCGGAUGUGAAAACCCAGGGCUCAACCCUGGGCCUGCAUUCGAUACGGGCAGACUAGAGUUCGGUAGGGGAGACUGGAAUUCCUGGUGUAGCGGUGAAAUGCGCAGAUAUCAGGAGGAACACCGGUGGCGAAGGCGGGUCUCUAGGCCGAUACUGACGCUGAGGAGCGAAAGCGUGGGGAGCGAACAGG